RNAcentral lists this ribosomal RNA (253 nucleotides) under uncultured bacterium. Its description in RNAcentral is "partial 16S ribosomal RNA". It matches the Rfam family "Bacterial small subunit ribosomal RNA", at positions 524 to 776 of the family's 1533-position model. The record is from RNAcentral.
UACAGAGGUGGCAAGCGUUGUUCGGAAUUACUGGGCGUAAAGGGCGCGUAGGCGGUCUUGUAAGUCCUGUGUGAAAUCCCUCGGCUCAACUGAGGAACUGCACGGGAUACUGCGAGACUUGAGUUCGGGAGAGGGAAGCGGAAUUCCGGGUGUAGCGGUGAAAUGCGUAGAGAUCGGGAAGAACAUCGGUGGCGAAGGCAGCCCCCUGGGCUGACACUGACGCUCAGGCACGAAAGCGUGGGGAGCAAACAGG